This 426-nucleotide ribosomal RNA is filed under the name uncultured prokaryote. Its description in RNAcentral is "bacterial SSU rRNA". It matches the Rfam family "Bacterial small subunit ribosomal RNA", at positions 355 to 774 of the family's 1533-position model. The record is from RNAcentral.
UCGAGAAUUUUUCACAAUGGGCGAAAGCCUGAUGGAGCGACGCCGCGUGGGGGAUGAAUGGCUUCGGCCCGUAAACCCCUGUCAUUUGCGAUCAAACCUCACAACUUAAUACGUCGUGAGUUGAUAGUAGCAAAAGAGGAAGGGACGGCUAACUCUGUGCCAGCAGCCGCGGUAAUACAGAGGUCCCAAGCGUUGUUCGGAUUCACUGGGCGUAAAGGGUGCGUAGGCGGUCGGGUAAGUCUGACGUGAAAUCCUGGAGCUUAACUCCGGAACUGCGUCGGAAACUAUUCGGCUAGAGGAUUGGAAGGGGGACUGGAAUUCUCGGUGUAGCAGUGAAAUGCGUAGAUAUCGAGAGGAACACCCGUGGCGAAGGCGAGUCCCUGGACAAUUCCUGACGCUGAGGCACGAAAGCUAUGGGAGCAAACA